CCUACGCUGAUUGGACGACUUUACCACAUCCGCGGCGCAAGUUGCUGUGCGACUAUGUUUUCACGUUUUAUCAGCUCCUGGGACCAGCGUUACAAAACUUGGAAUCUGGGACCUGCUGAGGCUGUGCACCCUACUAAAUCAAGCCACCGCAUUUUGGGGGCUGGGCACAGGAGGGAAUGAGAGUACUACAACUUGCAACAAUGUAAAAAGGAUUAACAACCUUCCUCUCUCAGCAAAGUCAGGUAAGAAGGAUGUAUACC
Talpa occidentalis (Iberian mole) is the source of this 260-nucleotide long non-coding RNA. RefSeq lists it as uncharacterized. The record is from RefSeq and is a predicted model, not a curated record. The transcript is spliced from 3 exons. NCBI's taxonomy places the organism in Eukaryota, Metazoa, Chordata, Mammalia, Eulipotyphla, Talpidae.